UGGGGCGUAUUGGACAAUGGGCGAAAGCCUGAUCCAGCCAUGCCGCAUGAGUGAAGAAGGCCCUUGGGUUGUAAAGCUCUUUUAGUGAGGAAGAUAAUGACGGUACUCACAGAAGAAGUCCUGGCUAACUCCGUGCCAGCAGCCGCGGUAAUACGGAGAGGGCUAGCGUUAUUCGGAAUUAUUGGGCGUAAAGGGCGCGUAGGCUGGUUAGUAAGUUAAAAGUGAAAUCCCGAGGCUUAACCUUGGAACUGCUUUUAAAACUGCUAACCUAGAGAUUGAAAGAGGAUAGAGGAAUUCCUAGUGUAGAGGUGAAAUUCGUAAAUAUUAGGAGGAACACCAGUGGCGAAGGCGUCUAUCUGGUUCAAAUCUGACGCUGAGGCGCGAAGGCGUGGGGAGCAAGCA
RNAcentral lists this ribosomal RNA (402 nucleotides) under uncultured bacterium. RNAcentral describes it as "bacterial SSU rRNA". It matches the Rfam family "Bacterial small subunit ribosomal RNA", at positions 355 to 774 of the family's 1533-position model. The record is from RNAcentral.